Cinara cedri is the source of this 201-nucleotide non-coding RNA. Lineage: Eukaryota; Metazoa; Arthropoda; Insecta; Hemiptera; Aphididae. The record is from the annotation of a GenBank genome assembly.
UCUUCGGAAUUUCAGUAGUACUUAGGCUAUAAUAAUGGGCAUUACUGAUAGUAAGGUCUGUUUAACUAAUUUUGUCGACUAACGAGAAACAUGUACGAAUCAUGACUAUUUUUUAGUCGACUUCAUUACUAAUUUUUUGAUUCGAACAAUUAAAUUCUAUAGAAUACGAUGCACACUGACUAGUAGUAGUAAUAGUAAUAG